AGAGUUUGAUCAUGGCUCAGAUUGAACGCUGGCGGCAUGCCUCAUACAUGCAAGUCGAACGGUAACAGGCGAAAAGCUUGCUUUUUGCGCUGACGAGUGGCGGACGGGUGAGUAAUGCGUAGGAAUCUGCCCUAAAGAGGGGGACAACCCGGGGAAACUCGGGCUAAAACCGCAUAAUCUUUUCGAAGCAACGCUGGCUACUUGUAGCUGGUGCUUUAGGAGGAGCCUACGUUGGAUUAGCUUGUUGGUAGGGUAAAGGCCUACCAAGGCGAUGAUCUAUAGCUGUUCUGAGAGGAAGAUCAGCCACACUGGGACUGAGACACGGCCCAGACUCCUACGGGAGGCAGCAGUAGGGAAUAUUGGACAAUGGGGGAAACCCUGAUCCAGCAAUGCCGCGUGUAUGAAGAAGGCCUGAGGGUUGUAAAGCACUUUUAAUGGGGAGGAAUAGUUCCACGUAAAUAGCGUGGAGCAGUGACGUUACCCGUAGAAUAAGCACCGGCAAACUCUGUGCCAGCAGCCGCGGUAAUACAGAGGGUGCGAGCGUUAAUCGGAAUGACUGGGCGUAAAGGGCACGUAGGCGGUUAGACAAGUUAGAUGUGAAAUCCCAGGGCUCAACCUUGGAACUGCAUCUAAAACUGUUUGACUAGAGUUCACUAGAGGGAAGCGGAAUUUCCGGUGUAGCGGUGAAAUGCGUAGAUAUCGGAAGGAACAUCAGUGGCGAAGGCGGCUUUCUGGAGUUGAACUGACGCUAAGGUGCGAAAGCGUGGGGAGCAAACGGGAUUAGAUACCCCGGUAGUCCACGCUGUAAACGAUGAGUACUAGCUGUUGGCAUGCGACGACAUGUAAGUAGCGUAGUUAACGCGAUAAGUACUCCGCCUGGGGAUUACGGCCGCAAGGCUAAAACUCAAAGGAAUUGACGGGGGCCCGCACAAGCGGUGGAACAUGUGGUUUAAUUCGAUGCAACGCGAAGAACCUUACCUACUCUUGACAUCUAUGGAACACUUGAGAGAUCUAGUGGUGCCCGAAAGGGAACCGUAAGACAGGUGCUGCAUGGCUGUCGUCAGCUCGUGUCGUGAGAUGUUGGGUUAAGUCCCGUAACGAGCGCAACCCUUGUCCUUAGUUGCCAGCACAUUAUGGUGGGGACUCUAAGGAGACUGCCGGUGAUAAGCCGGAGGAAGGUGGGGAUGACGUCAAGUCAUCAUGGCCUUUAUGAGUAGGGCUACACACGUGUUACAAUGGACAGUACAGAGGGAGGCAAAGCCGUGAGGUGGAGCGGAUCUCGGAAAACUGUUCGUAGUCCGGAUUGAAGUCUGCGAUUCGACUUCAUGAAGCUGGAAUCGCUAGUAAUCGCGAAUCAGAAUGUCGCGGUGAAUACGUUCCCGGGCCUUGUACACACCGCCCGUCACACCAUGGGAGUGGGUUGCAAAAGAAGUGGGUAGCUUAACAUUGGGCGCUCACCACUUUGUGAUUCAUGACUGGGGUGAAGUCGUAACAAGGUA
RNAcentral lists this ribosomal RNA (1499 nucleotides) under metagenome. RNAcentral describes it as "bacterial SSU rRNA". It matches the Rfam family "Bacterial small subunit ribosomal RNA". The record is from RNAcentral.